AGUUUACAAGAACAGUUGUUGCCUCAGGAAGACUACACCCUGGAACAUCCUCACUCAGAAAACAAUCACAGGAUGUAGAAGCCACCAGAAGGCAGGGAAGCUCUUACAAUAUGUUGAGGAGAAGGUUGUUCUUCAAGCAAGUGUGUCCCAAGGACCUUCUCAGCAACACUAGGAGAUAAUAAAACAUUCAGGUAAAACUACCAGUGCUGCCAAGAUGAGCUCUAUAACCAAGGGGACUUCCAAGUGCCUCAGGAAUCCUCAGUACCCAAUGGCAUUAAGUGUCCUGCCUGCUACAACGUGUAUGAUGUUUCCUGCGACCCAGUUCUUCUUGCCUGCACUGGUACAGAGACAAAGCGUGUGGAAGUUAUUGGCAUAGAUCAACUCUGAUACAACAUGGGAGAAGAGUAUACAAGGACAUGAAUACUAAGAGAUCGCAGGCCAUCCUAGAGACUAACUACUAUGUACAGCAAAGGCUGAUACAGGGCCAAGUCCUAGUUCACUCUCCAAAGUUUGGAGGGAGCCAUCUGUCAGAAGAGAGAAGGGGGAGAGGAGAGGACGAGGAGAGGAGAGGGAAGAUGAAGAGAACACAACUGCUUUCCACAGGAAAGUCUGACACUUGGGAACAUGUCAUAUCAUGAUCUCCUCGAAUGGGAACUUGGGUCAUUGGCCAUCACCCUCUUCAACAAAGAGGGUGAUACCUCAGUUCUGGUUUUUUUCAUCACUACCAUUAUUGCUAUUACCCAAUCCCCAUGAAUAAGCAUGAUAUGAUUCUGAAAUCUGCAGAAGGACUUGCCAUUUUCCUGAGGAGGAAAAAAGUAUGGACUUGUAAUAAGAUGCACAGAUGCCAUUCAGAUAGAAAACAACAGGUACCAAGGGGCUGUUUAGGUGAAUACAUGAGUUCUGACCUCAGGCUUUUUCCUCUCUUCCAACUAUCUCUUGCCUCGUCAGAAGGUACAGACUCCAAUCUCAGCUAUGCAUCUGACACAGCAGGGGCCCUUUGGGAUUCAUCCUAAACUGAGAUGUCGGGCCCAAAGGGAACUAAGGCUUGGUCCCUGGACAGAGAUGGAGCUGUGGUUCUUGCUUCUUUCACAGAAGGCAGAGGGGAAUUCUGGGGCAUUCUGUGUACCCUUUUCUUCCCCAAGGGAGGCAGAUAGGAUAGGACAUGGGU
Molecule: long non-coding RNA, 1168 nt
Organism: Canis lupus familiaris (dog)
Lineage: Eukaryota; Metazoa; Chordata; Mammalia; Carnivora; Canidae
Exons: 4
Source: RefSeq, a predicted model, not a curated record